GAUGAACGCUAGCGGCAGGCCUAAUACAUGCAAGUCGAACGGCAAGAGGUGCAGCAAUACAACUCCUAGAGUGGCGAACGGGUGCGUAACGCGUAUGCAACCUACCCUAUACAGGGGGAUAGCCCGGAGAAAUCUGGAUUAAUACCCCAUGGUACUAAGUUGAGGCAUUUUGAUUUAGUUAAAGAUUCAUCGGUAUAGGAUGGGCAUGCGUCUGAUUAGCUAGUUGGCGGUGUAACGGACCACCAAGGCGACGAUCAGUAGGGGUUCUGAGAGGAAGGUCCCCCACACUGGCACUGAGAUACGGGCCAGACUCCUACGGGAGGCAGCAGUAGGGAAUAUUGGGCAAUGGACGAGAGCCUGACCCAGCCAUGCCGCGUGCAGGAAGACGGCGUUCUGCGUUGUAAAACUGCUUUUAUCUGGGAAGAAAAAGUCCAUGCGUGGAAAAUUGCCGGUACCCAGAUGAAUAAGCAACCGGCUAACUCCGU
Molecule: ribosomal RNA, 485 nt
Filed under: uncultured bacterium
Lineage: Bacteria
Description: bacterial SSU rRNA
Rfam family: Bacterial small subunit ribosomal RNA
Source: RNAcentral